AACGAACGCUGGCGGCAUGCCUAACACAUGCAAGUCGAACGAGACCUUCGGGUCUGUGGCGCACGGGUGCGUAACGCGUGGGAACCUGCCCUUAGGUUCUGAAUAACUCCCCGAAAGGGGUGCUAAUACCGGAUAAUGUCUUCGGACCAAAGAUUUAUCGCCUUUGGAUGGGCCCGCGUUGGAUUAGCUAGUUGGUAGGGUAAAAGCCUACCAAGGCGACGAUCCAUAGCUGGUCUGAGAGGAUGAUCAGCCACACUGGGACUGAGACACGGCCCAGACUACUACGGGAGGCAGCAGUGGGGAAUAUUGGACAAUGGGCGAAAGCCUGAUCCAGCAAUGCUGCGUGAGUGAUGAAGGCCUUAGGGUUGUAAAGCUCUUUUACCCGGGAUGAUAAUGACAGUACCGGGAGAAUAAGCUCCGGCUAACUCCGUG
RNAcentral lists this ribosomal RNA (432 nucleotides) under uncultured bacterium. RNAcentral describes it as "partial 16S ribosomal RNA". It matches the Rfam family "Bacterial small subunit ribosomal RNA", at positions 29 to 507 of the family's 1533-position model. The record is from RNAcentral.